Molecule: ribosomal RNA, 331 nt
Filed under: uncultured bacterium
Lineage: Bacteria
Description: bacterial SSU rRNA
Rfam family: Bacterial small subunit ribosomal RNA
Source: RNAcentral
CGUGUAGGCGGCCUCUUAAGUCUGGUGUGAAAGCCCGGGGCUUACCCCCGGAAGGGCACUGGAAACUGGGAGGCUAGAGUACCGGAGAGGAGGGUGGAAUUCCUGGUGUAGCGGUGAAAUGCGUAGAUAUCAGGAGGAACACCGGUGGCGAAGGCGGCCCUCUGGACGGAUACUGACGCUGAGACGCGAAAGCGUGGGGAGCAAACAGGAUUAGAUACCCUGGUAGUCCACGCUGUAAACGAUGGGCACUAGGUGUUCGGGGUAUUGACCCCCUGAGUGCCGCAGCUAACGCAUUAAGUGCCCCGCCUGGGGACUACGGCCGCAGGUUAAA